This 253-nucleotide ribosomal RNA is filed under the name uncultured bacterium. Its description in RNAcentral is "partial 16S ribosomal RNA". It matches the Rfam family "Bacterial small subunit ribosomal RNA", at positions 524 to 776 of the family's 1533-position model. The record is from RNAcentral.
UACGUAGGGGGCAAGCGUUGUCCGGAUUUAUUGGGCGUAAAGAGCGUGUAGGCGGCCAGGUAGGUCGGUUGUGAAAACUGGAGGCUCAACCUUCAGAGGUCGACCGAAACCAUCUGGCUAGAGUCCGGGAGAGGAGAGUGGAAUUCCUGGUGUAGCGGUGAAAUGCGCAGAUAUCAGGAAGAACACCCGUGGCGAAAGCGGCUCUCUGGAACGGUACUGACGCUGAGACGCGAAAGCGUGGGGAGCGAGCAGG